This 1289-nucleotide ribosomal RNA is filed under the name metagenome. RNAcentral describes it as "SSU rRNA". It matches the Rfam family "Eukaryotic small subunit ribosomal RNA", at positions 483 to 1786 of the family's 1831-position model. The record is from RNAcentral.
AUGCGGGACUCACCAGAGGCCUCGCAAUUGGAAUGAGCGCACUUUAAAUCGUUCGACUAGGAUCUAUUGGAGGGCAAGUCUGGUGCCAGCCGCCGCGGUAAUUCCAGCUCCAAUAGCGUAUAUUAAAGUUGUUGCAGUUAAAAAGCUCGUAGUUGGAUCUGGGGUUCGGGUCGGCGGUUUGCCGCUUCGGCGGCUACUGCCGUGCUCGACUCUUACUAGCCGGUGCGUCUUGCGGUGCUCUUCAUCGAGUGCCGUAGGAGCCUGGCAUGUUUACUUUGAAAAAAUUAGAGUGCUCAAAGCAGGCGAUUCCGCCUGAAUAGUGUUGCAUGGAAUAAUGGAAUAGGACCUCGGUUCUAUUUUGUUGGUUUUCGGAACUUGAGGUAAUGAUUAAGAGGGACGGUCGGGGGCAUUCGUAUUUCGGUGUUAGAGGUGAAAUUCUUGGAUCGCUGAAAGACGGACAAAUGCGAAAGCAUCUGCCAAGAACGUCUCCAUUAAUCAAGAACGAAAGUCAGAGGUUCGAAGACGAUCAGACACCGUCCUAGUUCUGACCAUAAACGAUGCCAACUAGCGAUCCGCAGUGGUUGCUAUAAACGGACUCUGCGAGCAGCUUCCGGGAAACCAAAGUGUUUGGGUUCCGGGGGAAGUAUGGUUGCAAAGCUGAAACUUAAAGGAAUUGACGGAAGGGCACCACCAGGAGUGGAGCCUGCGGCUUAAUUUGACCCAACACGGGGAAACUCACCCGGUCCGGACACUGUAAGGAUUGACAGAUCGAGAGCUCUUUCUUGAUUCGGUGGAUGGUGGUGCAUGGCCGUUCUUAGUUGGUGGAGUGAUUUGUCUGGUUAAUUCCGAUAACGAACGAGACUCUAGCCUGCUAACUAGUUGCGCCGUGUUCAUACGCGGCUGUAGACUUCUUAGAGGGACAGGUGGCGUUUAGCCACACGAAAUUGAGCAAUAACAGGUCUGUGAUGCCCUUAGAUGUCCGGGGCCGCACGCGCGCUACACUGAAGGAGUCAGCGUGUGCUAUCCGGGCUCGGAAGAGUUCGGUAACCCGUUGAAACUCCUUCGUGCUUGGGAUUGUGGCUUGUAAUUAUCGCGCAUGAACGAGGAAUUCCCAGUAAGUGCAAGUCAUCAGCUUGCGCUGACUACGUCCCUGCCCUUUGUACACACCGCCCGUCGCUACUACCGAUUGAAUGGUUUAGCAAGGUACUCGGAUUGGUCUCGAUCUUGUACGAAAGUGCGGGAUCUGUGGCCGAGAAGAAGGCCAAACUUGAUCAUUUAGAGGAAGUAAA